Molecule: long non-coding RNA, 162 nt
Organism: Octopus sinensis (East Asian common octopus)
Lineage: Eukaryota; Metazoa; Mollusca; Cephalopoda; Octopoda; Octopodidae
Exons: 3
Source: RefSeq, a predicted model, not a curated record
UUAAAAACUGAGAAAUAUACAUUCUGAUCAAUAAGUAUCCGGACUGUUGCUAUAGUAACGAAUCUAAAGCACACAGAGUGAAACCGCUUGGCGCAGAUUGACCAUGAACGCUGCUGGGCAUGCGCACUAAGUUUUACCGUUCUAGCUCACUUCCGCUGUUUA